This 24-nucleotide non-coding RNA is filed under the name Macaca fascicularis (crab-eating macaque). RNAcentral also lists the same sequence under 2 other names. The record is from RNAcentral. Lineage: Eukaryota; Metazoa; Chordata; Mammalia; Primates; Cercopithecidae.
GGUGAACCUGCGGAAGGAUCAGUA